AUGUGGUAUAAUUUGGCUAUCUAAGGAUUGGAUCUGUAUAAAAUGAAAGUGCUAUGGUAUGUAAUGCAUGAAAUAUGAACAGCUGAAAAUCAAAAAUAUCUGUCCAACCUUUGGAUUCAAAGGUUAACAUUAAACAUCUGAGAGGGUCAGGUGGGGACCACUGGUUGAAAUGAUAUGGAACGACCCUUAUGUUUUAUAAACAUGGAGAGCAUAACAAAAAAAAAAAAAAAAAAAAAAGAGAAA
Acanthochromis polyacanthus (spiny chromis) is the source of this 243-nucleotide long non-coding RNA. RefSeq lists it as uncharacterized. The transcript is spliced from 2 exons. The record is from RefSeq and is a predicted model, not a curated record. Lineage: Eukaryota; Metazoa; Chordata; Actinopteri; Pomacentridae.